Molecule: ribosomal RNA, 716 nt
Filed under: uncultured Acidobacteriota bacterium
Lineage: Bacteria; Pseudomonadati; Acidobacteriota
Description: bacterial SSU rRNA
Rfam family: Bacterial small subunit ribosomal RNA
Source: RNAcentral
CAAGUCGAAACGGGAAAACGGGGGCAACUCCGUGAGUAUAGUGGCGUACGGGUGAGUAACACGUGACUACCUACCUUUGAGUGGGGGAUAACCCCGGGAAACCGGGGCUAAUACCGCAUAACAUCGCAAGAUCAAAGAAGCAAUUCGCUUAAAGAGGGGGUCGCGGCUGAUUAGCUAGUUGGUAGGGUAAUGGCCUACCAAGGCGAUGAUCGGUAGCCGGCCUGAGAGGGCGCACGGCCACACUGGAACUGAAACACGGUCCAGACUCCUACGGGAGGCAGCAGUGGGGAAUUUUGCGCAAUGGGGGAAACCCUGACGCAGCAACGCCGCGUGGAGGAUGAAGUCCCUUGGGACGUAAACUCCUUUCGACCGGGACGAUUAUGACGGUACCGGUGGAAGAAGCCCCGGCUAACUUCGUGCCAGCAGCCGCGGUAAUACGAGGGGGGCAAGCGUUGUUCGGAAUUAUUGGGCGUAAAGGGCGCGUAGGCGGUGCGGUAAGUCACCUGUGAAAACUCUGGGCUCAACUCANAGCCUGCAGGCGAAACUGCCGUGCUUGAGUGUGGGAGAGGUGCGUGGAAUUCCCGGUGUAGCGGAGAAAUGCGUAGAUAUCGGGAGGAACACCUGUGGCGAAAGCGGCGCACUGGACCACAACUGACGCUGAGGCGCGAAAGCUAGGGGAGCAACAGGAUUAGAUACCCUGGUAGUCCUAGCCCUAA